CGUAGGGUGCGAGCGUUGUCCGGAAUUACUGGGCGUAAAGGGCUCGUAGGUGGUUUGUCGCGUCGUCUGUGAAAUUCCGGGGCUUAACUCCGGGCGUGCAGGCGAUACGGGCAUAACUUGAGUACUGUAGGGGUAACUGGAAUUCCUGGUGUAGCGGUGAAAUGCGCAGAUAUCAGGAGGAACACCGAUGGCGAAGGCAGGUUACUGGGCAGUUACUGACGCUGAGGAGCGAAAGCAUGGGUAGCGAACAGGAUUAGAUACCCUGGUAGUC
This 271-nucleotide ribosomal RNA is filed under the name uncultured Actinomycetales bacterium. Its description in RNAcentral is "partial 16S ribosomal RNA". It matches the Rfam family "Bacterial small subunit ribosomal RNA", at positions 526 to 795 of the family's 1533-position model. Lineage: Bacteria; Bacillati; Actinomycetota; Actinomycetes; Actinomycetales. The record is from RNAcentral.